CUUACACCUUUUUACAACGCAACAUUUAAAUCAUUCCGGUCACUGACAGUGACUUCAUUCAGUAGUGGAUCAAUUAUCAGUGACAUAAGGAUUGAGUUUGCAUCUUCAGGUGUGCCGAAUACAACUGCUAUUGCAAAUGUUUUGAUCAAUUCAGCCUCAAAUAUAACAGCCUUCAACAUUACCACAAACUCUGUGGUUGUCCGUGAAAUAGUAGCUUCAACUACAACUGUGAGCGCUACAACACCAAUGAUGACUGCAGUUACAAAUGCAAUCACAGCAAAUGUUACAAACACCACACCUAUUACAAAUACAUCUGCGGUGCCUA
Molecule: long non-coding RNA, 325 nt
Organism: Pundamilia nyererei
Lineage: Eukaryota; Metazoa; Chordata; Actinopteri; Cichliformes; Cichlidae
Exons: 3
Source: RefSeq, a predicted model, not a curated record